AGUGAACGCUGGCGGUAGGCCUAACACAUGCAAGUCGAACGGCAGCACAGUAAGAGCUUGCUCUUACGGGUGGCGAGUGGCGGACGGGUGAGGAAUACAUCGGAACCUACUUUUUCGUGGGGGAUAACGUAGGGAAACUUACGCUAAUACCGCAUACGACCUACGGGUGAAAGCAGGGGAUCUUCGGACCUUGCGCGAUUGAAUGAGCCGAUGUCGGAUUAGCUAGUUGGCGGGGUAAAGGCCCACCAAGGCGACGAUCCGUAGCUGGUCUGAGAGGAUGAUCAGCCACACUGGAACUGAGACACGGUCCAGACUCCUACGGGAGGCAGCAGUGGGGAAUAUUGGACAAUGGGCGCAAGCCUGAUCCAGCCAUACCGCGUGGGUGAAGAAGGCCUUCGGGUUGUAAAGCCCCUUUGUUGGGAAAGAAAAGCAGCAGGUUAAUACCCCGCUGUUCUGACGGUACCCAAAGAAUAAGCACCGGCUAACUUCGUG
This 492-nucleotide ribosomal RNA is filed under the name uncultured bacterium. Its description in RNAcentral is "partial 16S ribosomal RNA". It matches the Rfam family "Bacterial small subunit ribosomal RNA", at positions 29 to 507 of the family's 1533-position model. The record is from RNAcentral.